This is a long non-coding RNA of Rosa chinensis, 1592 nucleotides long. RefSeq lists it as uncharacterized. Lineage: Eukaryota; Viridiplantae; Streptophyta; Magnoliopsida; Rosales; Rosaceae. The record is from RefSeq and is a predicted model, not a curated record. The transcript has 10 exons.
AGAAGGGUAAUUUGCUUGUAGACACAAAGCCUGCUUCAUUUACUUUUGUUUCCCCUCGUCACUAGGAGAUUAAUUCCUUUUUGCAGAGGAUUGGGCAAGUACUCAUGCAUCCAAUAUUUGAUUGGGAGCCCAGCCCAGGUCUCCGUUCCCUAUUCCUUUUUGCUGAUACGAAUUUGCCUGUAUGCUGAUCUCUACUUGUGCAGAGAGGAUAAUCAAGGUGCAGUCAAACCACCAUUCCUUGCGGUAGAAUGUCAAGCAACAAUAUUACAACAUGCAAUUACAAACUUAUUUUGUAUCACCUAUUUGACUGAUGGAUGAGGCAGGCUAUCUUACCUAAACUAGGUUACUAAGUCCUCUGAUUUUGUAUCUAAUGUAGAAGAAAAUCGUACCAAGAUACAUGUAAAGCUAAUAUUUACCGAUGCUGGAAGCAUUUAGAAUCGCCUUGGAGUUGAGAGCCUGAUCGAAUUGUACUUUGGUGGAGGAUGGGAAUAAUGAUCUGCCAAUAUCUGAUAGUAAUCCCAGCUCGACCAACUUCCAAACACGUCUCACUUCCCUAUUAAUGUGACAGAGUGAUAGACUGAAAUUGAAUCACCGACAUCUUCGAACCUGCCUUAAAGAUUCUGUACUUAUAUGCAGAGAGGAUAAGCACUACAUCUUCCUUCAUCAACAGAAUCUUCCCUGUAGUUUGUCUGCCAAACAAAGACAGCACGAGCUGAAAUGAGUGAACUGUUGACUAGCUUGUUGUCAAAGACGGAUACAUUAACUGCCACCGUACCAGUGACUGUUCCAGGAAUGAAGCUAUUAGCUAGGCAGCUCAUGGCUUCCUCACAUACUGAACUGAACUCCCUAUCAGCUUUAAUUACUUCUGCGGCUUGAUUUCUUAAACAUACAGGAAAUGAUGAUUCUCGGUCAUGUAUAGAGCUGAAAGGAUUCUGGACUUCUCAAGGACAAGAUGAUCCUCACCUCCUCAGGUUAUACAAUUCUUCUAUUUACAUAAUUUGGCAUAUAGUGUAGAUGCUACUACAUUGAAACUUGAAGCAUUAAGAAUGGCAUUGGAGUUUAUGGGAUGCUAAUUUGAUACCGAGGUUGGAGUAGCUUAGUCAGGCAGCUGAGCAUCUUAUCUAAUUAUGUAUAUAUUAUAGAUGAGAAUCGCACCAGGCUACUUGUACUGCUCAUAUUGAAGCUUGAUGCAUUCAGAAUGGCAUCAGACUAUCAGAGUUUGAAAAUCUUUUGGUUAAUCACAUGGGCCGAUGAUGGAGCUGAGUCAAGAGCAUCUCUUCCAAGCGUCUGGACUUUAUUAGAGUUAUUGGGAAGAGGAUGGGGCAAAUGAGCAUGCAUCCAAUACUUGAUCGGAAGUCAAACUGCUAUUCGUCAAGUUCCCCAACUCUGAAAUUCACCCUCUCAGUCUACUUCACAAGUUUCCUGAACCAGCUCUGAGUAGAGAGGGUCUUGGGGAAGGAUGGAAAGGGUUUGUGUACUCUUUGCAAGAGGUUUAUGACAAGAAUGGUGCUUUGGAGAAGAUUCGGAGCUUGAAUGGUCACGAUGAUGGCAACUCGAUUUACGAAUCUGUUGUGUUGUUCCACAGCAGAGGU